RNAcentral lists this ribosomal RNA (495 nucleotides) under uncultured bacterium. Its description in RNAcentral is "partial 16S ribosomal RNA". It matches the Rfam family "Bacterial small subunit ribosomal RNA", at positions 28 to 507 of the family's 1533-position model. The record is from RNAcentral.
GACGAACGCUGGCGGCGUGCCUAAUACAUGCAAGUAGAACGCUGAAGGAGGAGCUUGCUCUUCUGGAUGAGUUGCGAACGGGUGAGUAACGCGUAGGUAACCUGCCUGGUAGCGGGGGAUAACUAUUGGAAACGAUAGCUAAUACCGCAUAACAGUAGAUGUUGCAUGACAUUUGCUUAAAAGGUGCAAUUGCACCACUACCAGAUGGACCUGCGUUGUAUUAGCUAGUUGGUGGGGUAACGGCUCACCAAGGCGACGAUACAUAGCCGACCUGAGAGGGGGAACGGCCACACUGGGACUGAGACACGGCCCAGACUCCUACGGGAGGCAGCAGUAGGGAAUCUUCGGCAAUGGACGGAAGGCUGAACGAGCAACGCCGCGUGAGGGAAGAAGGGUUUCGGAUCGGAAAGCUCUGUUGUAAGAGAAGAACGAGUGUGAGAGUGGAAAGUUCACACUGUGACGGUAUCUUACCAGAAAGGGACGGCUAACUACGUG